This 509-nucleotide ribosomal RNA is filed under the name uncultured Glomeromycotina. RNAcentral describes it as "SSU rRNA". It matches the Rfam family "Eukaryotic small subunit ribosomal RNA", at positions 569 to 1079 of the family's 1831-position model. The record is from RNAcentral. Lineage: Eukaryota; Fungi; Glomeromycota.
AGCAGCCGCGGUAAUUCCAGCUCCAAUAGCGUAUAUUAAAGUUGUUGCAGUUAAAAAGCUCGUAGUUGAACUUCGGGGUUCACCCAUUGGUCAGGCUUAAUUGUCUGUACUGGUGAGAUGAGUCUCUACCUUCUGAGGAACUUUCAUGCCAUUUGUUUGGUGUGAUUGGAAAUCAGGACUGUUACUUUGAAAAAAUUAGAGUGUUUAAAGCAGGCUAACGUCUGAAUACAUUAGCAUGGAAUAAUGAAAUAGGACGGAUUGAUUCUAUUUCGUUGGUUUCUAGGGUCACCGUAAUGAUUAAUAGGGAUAGUUGGGGGCAUUAGUAUUCAAUUGUCAGAGGUGAAAUUCUUGGAUUUAUUGAAGACUAACUACUGCGAAAGCAUUUGCCAAGGAUGUUUUCAUUAAUCAAGAACGAAAGUUAGGGGAUCGAGGACGAUCAGAUACCGUCGUAGUCUUAACCAUAAACUAUGCCGACUAGGGAUCGGACGCAGUUAAUUUUAUAAUGACGU